AUUGAACGCUGGCGGCAUGCCUUACACAUGCAAGUCGAACGGCAGCACGGGAGCAAUCCUGGUGGCGAGUGGCGAACGGGUGAGUAAGUACAUCGGAACGUGCCCAGUAGUGGGGGAUAGCCCGGCGAAAGCCGGAUUAAUACCGCAUACGACCUACGGGUGAAAGCGGGGAUCGCAAGACCUCGCGCUAUCGGAGCGGC
RNAcentral lists this ribosomal RNA (200 nucleotides) under uncultured bacterium. RNAcentral describes it as "partial 16S ribosomal RNA". It matches the Rfam family "Bacterial small subunit ribosomal RNA", at positions 30 to 230 of the family's 1533-position model. The record is from RNAcentral.